GCGCUCCUGCUCGAAGAAGAGGAAGCAGAGGUCAGCGAUGGCUGGGAGCAGAGGUCCGGCGAGCGGGGCGGCGAGGUCUUGGGCGUCCGGAUCUGACCGGGAACGAGCUUGGACGCUGAGAAGAACUGGAUCCGGCGGCUGACGCCUUUCUCUGAAGAAGAAAGUAGCCAUGGAGCGGGGGCUUCAGGCCGGCAAUGGGAUUGCACGGCGGUCGACGCGGGCGAGGGAAGCGGCGGGACUCCGGCGCAUCAAGGAGCUCGGCGGAUGUGGUCGAGCUGGAGGCAUCGGUGAUCAGCGGGGCGAAGAGGACCACCAUAGUGGCCUUCUGGAACUCGUCCAUGACGGCGCGACGGCGAGCUCAUGUCCGGGCGAGGGGAAGCAGGGAGACGACAACUUGGGACAGAGGACCCAAUUGAGGACGACGCAGCGAAAUAGGACAACCAUGGGCUCCUCCAGGCGGCGGCUUGCUUGCUCUGGCGAGGCGGAUGCAAGCGAGGAGAGUUGAGGCAGCCGGCGACGUUCUUCGGCUCGGUGGUGCUGGCCUUGCAGAAGAAACAGGGCGACCACGCGAUUAGCAGUAGCAGUAGGAGAAGAACAACGAGAAACAGGGAGGAGGCGCGGUGAGGAGGAUCUGCGGGUCGGAGCGGCUUGACAGCAGGGGCCAUGGCAUGGUGCUGCUCGGGGCCGGACGACGCUGCUCUCGAUCCACCCUGGAUCGAGGCACAGGACGAGGGGAGGAGGCGCGGAGCAGCCUGCUCGAGCUCGAGGGUGAGGGCGGCGCUCGGGGUUGGCCGUGAUCAGAGGAUCUCAAACAGAGUGGUGCUAGCUGAAUCGGAAGCAGGGGAUGGAUGGGACAGAGAUGAUUGGCCGAUCCUCUGUUCGGUGGUGGCUGAAUGCGCGGUGGAUCGGGUAGGGGAGAUCUCGAGGGGGAUUCGGUGUAGUGGCGGCGGCGAUGAGAUGGAUGAGACAGCCUGCUUAAAAUCUAGGGUUAGGCUGCUUAUAUAGCAACAGGUGGAUUAGGUUAGGGGUGAUCUAGUCCCUCCGAUUGAAAUCAGACGGUCCGAGAAAAUAGGUAGGGAGUCCAAAUAAGAAAAAGGAGAUGUUUUAGGGAUGUUUGGGGCUGAUCCGGAUCCAACAGUGACGACAACCUGGGUCGGGUCCCGGACAACUUUCGGACGCGCGCGCGAGGAGGGUCUGACAAAAGGCCACGGAGGCAAGGGGGGUUAGGAAGGGGUUUUCGGAGCCUCCGAUCGCGACCGAUGGAUCCGAUCGACAUGGGGAAUAGGUAGGCCUAUGUGGGAUAGUUGUGACUGUGUAGAAGGCCGAGGGCUGCGGGAGAGAAGAGANNNNNNNNNNNNNNNNNNNNNNNNNNNNNNNNNNNNNNNNNNNNNNNNNNNNNNNNNNNNNNNNNNNNNNNNNNNNNNNNNNNNNNNNNNNNNNNNNNNNNNNNNNNNNNNNNNNNNNNNNNNNNNNNNNNNNNNNNNNNNNNNNNNNNNNNNNNNNNNNNNNNNNNNNNNNNNNNNNNNNNNNNNNNNNNNAGAGAGAGAGAGAGACCCGGCAGCAUUUUCCGGAGACCGAAAAUGUCCGGCGAUUUGACCGACUAUAUUUUCGCUAUAGUUAUCCGUUGGGGCGUCAAACGGAUUCCGAAUGCGAUGAAACUUGGCAGGCAGCAUAUGUACACUAUAACAACGCCGCAUGCCAACUUUUAACCCAUUUUGAGAACAUUUUCUGGCCACUUAAAAAAUACUAUUUCGGACAUGCCGCGGGCGCGUGCAAGUGUGUAUGGUCUCAGAACGGACAACGGGGAGAACUGGGGGACCCGGACGGAUGCAAGUUGUGAAAACAUGAUGAUGCAAUGCACAUGAUGACAUGAUGAAAAACACACAAGCAAAAGACAUGGCAACAACAGUGAAUAACUGGAAGACACUUGGCGCAUCGGUCUCGGGGCGUUACAACACUCCGCCACUACAAGAGGAUCUCGUCUCGAGAUAUAGGAUGGCACCGGAGAGAAACAGAAGAUGAAGAGAAGAGGUAAAGCUAAGUUGCUUCUUUGACAAAUGAGUGAAACCAAAGAACCUUGCGAGGUUGAACAAAUUGAAAGAAAAAAAAUACAAAAAAGAUGAACAAAGUUGAAAACACUCCGUUAGAAAAAGAGGAACAAGGAACAUUACGGGAACCUUGUAGGUUGAAAGAUAUAAGAAAAGGGUUGUAACGAGAUGGACAAGAAGUACAUGCAAGCACUCCGGUUGAAACGAGAUGAACAAGGAACAAUAAGGAUCAAAUAUGACAACACUUUGGUUGGAAAUGGAAGGUAAAGACUAUGAACUUGGCAAAAAGGAAAGCACUUGGAUCAGACUCCGGUUAGAAGAGGAAUGAUAGCCACAACACUCCGGUUAACACAAGAUGGAGGAGGAAAAAGAAUGAUAUAAUUUGGAUAGCACUCCGACUAUAAAUGGAAGGAAUAGAACAUGAUCUUGACAAGAUGAGAGGAUACUUGAUGAAACCAACAACACACUGCCUCCGGAACUAUUGAAAGAAUGGCACAAUGGGUAAGAAAGAUUUCAGACAGCACUCCGGUUGAGGAGGGAGGUAAAACUUGACAAAAUGGGAGGAACUUGAAAAUAGGGCAUGACACUCCGGUUGAUUGGAUAAGCAAAGGGAAGAACAUGAUCUUGGGGAAAACAAGAUAAUUUGUCAAAGAGAGUACAUCACAAUGCUUCCGAAAUGAACGAAUAGAAGCUAAAUCAUUGUAAUAAUAGAAUUGGGAAGAAAAUGUCAGUUUCUGCCACAAUUGAUCUUGGAAAGCACCCAUCCAAGAAUGUUAUAGCAGAGUUGUAGGGCAACCAACAACGAAAAGAACAAGCUUGUAGUGGGCUUAUGGAGAACAUCUCAAAACUAUGAGGUGAAAUUUUGCCACUAACGGAAACAAUAGAUUGGAUAUCAACAAGGAGACGAGAAACUUAUUUCACUAGAAGGAUAAAUGAAGAACUUUGGUCAUUUAUAAGCACCAUAAAUAGCAACAAUCCUUAGGGAAAGCUUUAGGUGAAAUAUAACCCAAGAAAAUUCCAAAGAAGAGAUUGAUGGGUUGCAAAGGAUCUCAUGAACGAAUUGAAAAUGAUGGGUUUACAAUAUGUCAUUCCGGACAACUUGUGAAUCAUGAAACACCAAGAAAUUGUCAAAAUGACGUAACACCACCUCAAAAAUGGAGCACCACCACCUCCACCACCUCCUCCAACGUUCCUCCACCACCACCAAGCCAUGGAACACCAUGAACUAGGCUUCCAUGGAGGGCCUCCUACAUUGGGACUUCUCACCCGGCCUUGCGGUCGCAGAUCAGGUGCGUAGACGGCUUGGAUCCUCUGUUCAUUUCCUCCCCGAUGGAUCUACCAAGGAAGUUUUCUUGGUUGUGUAUUUUUUGUCUGCCUCCUUCCCCUUAUCUGAAGAAUCUGUGGCCAUUGCCUUACAAUGUUGCAUCGGGGGUUUACCUUCUGGUCUCAAUGUGCAUCAUCUUGAGGGUCGGUCAUUUCGAUUCUCGGUGGCCUCUAAUCGUGUUGGACAUUUUAUCUAUGGUCUCAAAGAUCGAGUUUGGCUAGACUUCGUUUGCCACUUUCAACUUUAUCGCCAUGGCCGUACUCCUCCAAGAUGUUUGGACAAUGUAUGGCAUUCCGAUGUUCACAGUCCUGAGGUAGCUUCACGAUCCCCAAUUGCUCUAAGAACCAAUCUCUCAUUUCUUGCUGCUGGUUAGAGUUUUGAUCUCAGUACAUGUGCUGAACUACAAAAGUUUAAUCUUAUUGCACCGUCGACUAUGACGGCCGAGCAAGUAUGGUCGCCAGCGAAGGACCUUUCAGCAAAUGUGCCAAAUUCAAACUCUUUUGGCAAGGCGCCAUCCAAGGAUCUGGGUUCAUCAGCAUUAAUGGCAAAUAUUUCUUUUGGAAGUCUCCCUUCUUUUCAGUGUGGCAGUGUUAUGGCUCAUAAUACAAGAUUUGAAGGUUGUCGGUUUAAAAAGGACAAUUGGCAAUCUAUCCCUAAUUUCAUUCUAUUGCAUAUUCUGGACUUUCGUCAUGUCGGCCACACGGAGCAACAUAUUGCGAACGUCUGGAAGCUCAACAGUGUACCGUCUCAAGAUUAUAUCCACACGAGAUUGAAUUUGUGCUCAUCUUGCACGGCCUCAGGUCAUUUGGCUGACUCCUGCCCUGACAAACAUUGCACUACCUGUGAGCACUCACCCUAUGUUUGUGGCUCCUUGAAUCCAAUUACUUCGAACAAGUUGGAAGGCAUUUCAACCAGCCCAUUGCCUGGCCCAUCUUGCUACAUUUGUGGUGCUACUACCCACUUCACUUUUGGGUGCCCGGGCGCGCUUUACUGUAGAUACUGCACCUUUAUGGGCCACACCCCCAACUGUUGUGAUGACCACAAGGCGGCUCGCUUCUACUGGAGGCCCAAGCUUGAGCUGGCCCACCAGGAUCUUAUCUCCGCUGGCUCACAUGACAAAAGUGACAUCUCUCGACAGGUUUCAACUGAGGGGUUGGCAAGUAAUCGCAUUGUCCGGAUUUUCCCUUCUGCUAAGGAUCACAAAACCACUUUGGAAACAAGUGUGAAUCCACACAAUUAUCGACAAACUGCAUUGAUCAGGAAUUCUACUUUGGGCAAGAAUAAUUCCCAUGCUAAUCAUAAUCAGCCACAGAAUCAUUCUUCUGAUCUACCCCCACCAUUUACCGCACCUACCAAACUGGACUGGAAAUCGCAGCGGUCGAAUGGGACCCUUCGAUGUCACAACUGCGGGCGCGAUGGACACGUGGCUUCAUCCUGCUUCAUCAACACAAGAAAAAAGGGGUGGCGCUGGGUCCCCAAGUCUCUCCCAAGGGCCGCCGCUCCGCAUUCUACCUCGACCUUCACACCGUCCUCUGCUUCGUUGCAGAGCACCACCACAACCAUGGCUAACUUUCCAAUCAAUGUCAUCCCCUACCUCCCGCCGGGCAUGACCGUCGAGCUCGGGCCGCCUGACCGUAGGGUGCGUGACGACAUGGUGGUUGGUCCAAUCCCUCCGCUGCGCCACGACUUCCUCGCCAUUGCUGAAGCAAACAGGGACAUCCCCUUUCACCGCAAGGCGGCUCUCCGCCACAUCAUUGAAGGUUUGCUUCAUGAAUCCGAGUUUUUUCCGACUGAAGUAGGCGACCACCCUCUUGGUGUUGGUAUCUUUGGUUUUCCCAACACGCUCAUUAGGGAUGCAGUAGUUGGUACCACCUUUGAGCUUGAUGAGGAGGAGUUUGAUGAGCCGGUAGUGAUAUCCUUUGUUCCUCAUGAUGCUGCUCUGAACAUGCGUCUGACUUCUUUCGGGCCGGAGAUCUGGUUGCUGUACAUUGGUUUUCCGUAUGAUUAUCAGACUCAACACUAUAUGCAUAAAUCUGUCGAUAAGUUUGGUCAGUUGGUUGAAUGGCAUAACCCGAGAGGGGACCGUCGAUUCGUGCUUCUGAAAGUCAGGGUGAUACAUCUUCGAUUCGUUCCUAAGAGUAUGGUGUUGCGCCAACUUGGAGGCGCUCGCCAGAGCUGGACUGUGGCCGUCACUAUGUUAAGGAGCAGUGACUGGAAUGCACACAUCCCAGAUGUCCCGCCGGCCACUGAGGAUCCUCCUCCCGAAGAUGGAAUUCCCCACCCACUUCAUGGAGAGAACCUCACUGCUGAACAGAUUUAUCAAAUGCAGCUUCACAAUUGGAUCGCUCAGAAUGUGGCCGCCAAUGCCAAUGCUCAGCCAGGAAAUGACAAUGCAGAACAGGUGGUAGAUGAUGAAGUGCAGUUUCAACCUAAUUGGGGAGUCUGGCCCCCAUCCCCACCACAUACACCUCCCGCCAUGUUCAACUUCCAGGCCUGGCUAGCUGGAGAAGGUUUGCAGGUGCACCAUGGCAUUCAUCCUCUCAAUAACCUGCAAGAUAGUCCGGCUGCUGCUUGGAACGACUCAAUCUCUGUUUUUAGCAGCUCGGACUCCAGUGCUACUCUGUCUGAUGGUUUCUCCAUCGUCCCUUUAAACAUCUUCAACCAACUGCUUUCUGUUAAUGGAUCGACCUUGGGUGUUUUGUCUGUCGACACAGCUCAGUCUAGUGAUUCUGUCCAGGGCCCGAUCGCGGCUCCACCUGAGGUAAACAGUAUUGAACUGACCCUGACUAUAUCCAAUGCUGGUAUGCAGUUCUCCAUGCUUUCAGAUCAUGACAGCUAUGCCUCGCUCCUGCUGAAUGAGUGUGUGCCUAUGCUAAGGCUCAACACCUACCUCACUGCUGCUAUCCGACCUAUCAUUGCUGCUUUUGGCCCUUGGAGUUCAGGUUUUGGUUUUCGGGAUAGUUCAGUGCAAUUCUCGGUCAAUGUUGAGGAGACAAAUGGGCAUUUCUCUGUUCGGUCAGCAUCUAAAACUGUCAAAUACUCUGCUGACUCUGCCUCUCGUACUAUCCUCAUUCCUGGUCACACCUCAUGGGCUCUACACCAGGGAGAUGAUGCGCAUGUGUCUCCUGAGGAAUCUGCCAUUCUCCCCCGGGCUGCUACUUCCAAGGUUGUCAUUACUGAGAUUGAUGCUGGCCUCGAUCAGGAUGUGCCGUCAGAUGUGACCAUUCCUACUAACACUAAUGCUCUGAGCCUAACUGCUCCGGAUGAUGCAGUGCUUCCUCAGCUUCCCAAUGCUAUCACUGAAGCAUCAACUGAAGCCACCAAGACUUUGAUUUCUCCUCAUGCGGUGGAUCUGGGUGCAGGCACUUCAGUAGUCAGGAAAGGCAAAGCCAAAGCUCCAGCAUCUGUGUUGGAGGUGCGUCGCAGCAAUAGAUCCAACAAAUAUGAUGGGUUUAAGGUACCCUCUGUCUCUCACACUAAGCCAAAACCCUCUAAAGUUAAACCCCGAGUUGUACCCUCUGCUACUGAUACUCCUAUGGAGGUUGUUGAUCACACAGUCAAUCAGGGGGACUACAUCCCGCUGCCUACUCCAAUUCAGGUUCUGCAGCACAUUGGAAUUAGCAAGUGCGCCAUCCCGCCAGCCGAGGUCUCUGAAGAAGCUCUCAUGGCGGAUUCUGCGGACGGCCCGCCCCAGGCUUGAAGUAUCUGAAAGUGCCUGCUGAGAGGCUUACCUAUUUUGCUUUAUCCUUUCAUGUCUUCUUUGUUGAAUUGGAACAUCCUAUGCUGGAAUGUACGUGGCUUAAACUCUGAACCUAAACUUUUAGCGCUAUCUAAUGCUAUCGCUUCUAGUGGUUGUGCUAUCAUUUGUCUGCAAGAAACAAAAAAACCCACCAUUGAUAAUAUGUUCAUUAAAUCUUGCUGCCCGAAGAGAUUUGACAAAUUUGCUUACAUACCUUCGAAUGGGGCCUCGGGAGGGAUCGUCACAAUCUAUAAUAGUGCCAUCUUUACUGGCUCUGUGAUUAUGGAAGAAGAUUUUGCGUUGGCCAUUAAGUUUCGUUCCACACAGUCUUCCCAGGAAUGGACGCUGGUGAAUAUUUAUGGCCCAUGCCAAGGGGAUUCUAGAGUGACUUAUACAAAUUGGCUCCGACAUCUUAAUAUUCCAUCUAAUGAUGAUUGGCUUUUAUUGGGAGACUUUAAUUACAUACAUGGCCUCGACAACAGGAACAAGCCUGGAGGUAAUCCAAAUGACAUGAUCACUUUCAACAACAUCAUUCGAUCGAAUCAGCUAAUUGAACUGCCAAUCAAGGGCAGGGCCUACACAUGGAGCAAUAUGCAGAUUGAUCCACUGCUCGAACAGUUAGACUGGUUCCUCACUUCCAACAAUUGGACAUCUUCAUACCCAAACACACUAGUGGUGACCUUGGGAAAACCAGUUUCUGAUCAUAUCCCGUGUGUGGUGAAAAUUGAAACAUCCAUUCCACGCAGUAAAAUUUUUAGGUUCGAAUCUUAUUGGACUGAACAUCCUGGUUUCUUUGAGUUAGUCCAAUCGGUCUGGUCAAGAACCUUCAAGCAUACCUGCAAUGCAGCCACUUUGCUAGCCAGAAAAUUCAAAGCACUCAGAUAUGAGUUGAAGCGGUGGAGUAAAAGAUUCUCUAAACUAACAGUGGCGAUCGACAAUUCUAAUCUUGCAUUAGCCAAUCUUGAUGCUAUUGAAAACAUUAGAGCCCUCUCCACACCAGAGCAGAACUUCAGGACAAUCCUGAAAAGGCACCUCCUUCGGUUGUUGGGCUAUCAACGACAAUACUGGCAAAAAAGAUGCACUAUCCGUUGGAUCAAAUUUGGAGACGAAGACCCUAAAUUUCUGAAAGCUCUAGCAUCGGAGAGAUACAGACGAAACACAAUACCAACACUCAAACUCUCGGAUGGAUCGGUCGUAGAUGACCACGCGGGUAAAGAGGCAAUCAUUUAUCAUACAUUUAAAGAGCGGUUGGGGAAAUCAGGCGAAUUCCAAAUGAAAUUCAACCUCCCUGAUAUCAUCAAAAAAGUUGAGGGACUGGAGACACUUACUGUCCCCUUCACCAAGCAGGAGAUAGAUGUGAUCGUUAACGAAAUGCCGACCGACCGAGCUCCAGGACCAGAUGGUUUCUCUGGUAUCUUUAUCAAAAAAUGCUGGCAUAUUAUUAAGAACGACUUCUAUGAUCUAUGCAACCAGUUCUAUGAGGGGACCCUAAAUCUUGAAAGCAUCAAUGAGGGGUUUAUUACACUCAUUCCUAAGGUUCGCUCCCCAGAGAAUGUCUCUGAUUUUAGACCAAUCACUUUGUUGAAUUGUUGUCUUAAGAUUCUCACAAAACUUCUUGCCAACCGACUACAAAAGCUCAUUCUUAAAAUCGUUCAUCGAAACCAAUAUGGAUUCCCAAAAGGCCGAUCACUACAGGACUGUCUCGCCUGGGCGUUCGAAUAUAUCCAUCAGUGUCAAGCCUCCAAGGAAAAGAUCAUCCUCCUAAAACUGGAUUUCGCAAAGGCCUUUGAUACGAUCGAACAUGAUGCUAUGCUUAUGAUUAUGCAGCAUAUGGGAUUUGAUGACAGAUGGCUCAAUUGGGUAAAAUGCAUUUUCUCCUCUGGCAAGUCAGCGGUGCUUCUAAAUGGGGUCCCGGGUCAUCAAUUCAACUGUAAAUGUGGUGUUCGACAGGGUGACCCAUUCUCUCCAUUGAUUUUUGUAUUGGCGGCUGACCUCUUACAGGCCGCAAUCAAUGACGCUUUCAGACAUGGCCGAAUCCAGCUACCGUUCCCCAGAGAGAACCAACACGACUACCCUGUGAUACAAUACGCGGACGACACGCUCAUUCUUCUUCCUGCAUGCCCGGUCCAAGCCCUCACAAUCAAAAACAUUUUCACUGACUACGCUGACUCCAUUGGGCUCAAGAUAAACUUCCACAAGUCCACACUGAUCCCAAUUAACUAUGAGGCUGCCUGCUACAAUGAGCUCUCCAAUAUCUUUGGAUGUAAUGUUGGUUCCAUGCCCUUCACUUACCUAGGGUUACCUCUCGGGACAACCAAGCCCUCAGUUCAAGAUUUAAUGCCGCUUGUUUGUACAAUGGAACGUCGGAUGUCAAGCACUCUGGCCUUGAUGUCGUAUGGAGCCAGGCUAUCUCUACUCAAUACCAUGAUCACUUCACUAGUCAUCUUUGCUUUGUGCACUCUCAGACUGCCACCAAAGAUAAUUAAACUGCUUGAUAAACUGCGAAGGAAGUGUCUAUGGACAAAGAAGACAGAACAUGGGGACAAAUGCAAUUCCCUUGCGGCCUGGAGUAUGGUGUGUAGACCAAAACAGUGUGGAGGCCUUGGUAUAAUCAACCUACGCGUACAAAGCGAUGCCCUCCUUCUCAAAUAUCUGCAUAAAUUCUACAACAAGCACGAUGUACCUUGGGUGGAGCUUGUGUGGUCCACAUACUAUACAAACAAAAUCCCCCAUGCCAUGGAACCAUGCGGAUCAUUCUGGUGGAGAGAUGUUCUCAAGCUCACCCUGAUUUACAGAGGGAUUUCUAAAGCCAUUGUGCAUGAUGGAGCUACAGUGCUCAUGUGGAAAGACCUGUGGCUCGACGCCACUCUCGAUGAAAAGUACCAGCGCGCCUUCUCCUUUGCAAAAAAUGAAGAUAUUUCGGUUAAGGAUUUCCUGGGAUCCACAUCUCUGCAUGAAACGUUUCACCUCCCACUAUCAGUCCAAGCAAUGCAAGAAAUCCGUGAUCUUCAGCAAGAGGUGAGGCAUGUUGGCAACGCUACUGAUCCGACCCCACACGAUAACUGGACUUACUGUUGGGGCUCAGUGGAUUUUAAGGCCAUCAAAUACUACAAAUUCUAUUUUUGAGAGGUGCAUGCACAUCAAUCAUACAAGUGGCUCUGGGCGGCCAGGUCAACGCUCAAAAUUAAGGUCUUUGGGUGGCUUCUUCUCUCUGACCGCUUAAACACACGUAACAUGCUAAAGAGGAGACACUACAAUAUUGGGGACGAUUACAACUGCCUUCUUUGUGAUCAGCAAAUUGAAGAGACUGUCGAACACAUGAUCUUCCAGUGCCCCUUUAGCCAACGAUGUUGGUCCAUUCUAGGGAUAACUUGGCAGCAAACUGGUUCAAGGCUUCGGUGGAUCAGCAUGGCAGCUCAUGAUUGGAGCAGUCCCAUGUUCAUGGAUGUUUUCCUUCAAGCGGCUUGGAGCAUUUGGAAAGAGAGGAAUAACAAACAUUUCAGAAGCAUCCCACCAACUAUUCUAUCAUGGCUCCAACGUUUCAAACAUGACUUUGCCCUGCUCCAACAUAGAACCAGAGAAGAUGUGAGAGACUUUAUUCUCUCCUUUGUAAUUAGCUUAGAACCCCCUUGAUUGCCCCCACCAUAUAAAGUAGUAGUAGCCCUAGCCUCCACAGGUGGAGGUAAGGCGCCAGGUAAAAACGCCAUGUACAUUGUACCCUGCUUUUGAGUAAUACAAACACAGUGGGAGCCUCUCCCACUGUCCAAUUCCUCAAAAACAAACACCACCUCAAAAGAUAAGGUAGAACGAAUUGCACUUCAGAAUGCAAGAUGAAGAAAACUUGAGCUCCUUUGAAAAGAAUCUCGAUGAACACUUUAAGAAGGAAUUAAAUCCUUGACGAACCACCAUGUACAGCAUGCACGAAGAACUCCGGUAAUGAUCAAAUGAAAUGAAGGAUGAAAAGAAUAAGGUUGAAGCCUUGCUAUGAUUAGAUGGAUCUUCGUGAUGAUGGGAGCUUGGAACUCUGGGAAAAGAAAAGAUGAACCAAUUGAAACCGAGAAUUUGAUGAACCUCUGGAAUAAGGAAUUGAAUUCACUCGAUGAAACAAGAAUAAUAAUUGCAUUAUGCUUAUCCUUCACCAAUUUAAAUUGAUGACAAGCAACGGAUUUGGCAUACUGCUUAUUCUCGUAGAAAGGAUUAAAGAGAGGUAUAGCGCAAACUUGAGAAAGGUCUUCAAUGAACCACCGGUAGGAUUGGGAAGAAAGAAUGAGUUGAUAUGAUAACCAAGGAAGGGAACUCUUUAACGAACCACUGUAAGAAUUGAAAAUGAACGAAGAAAAGAUAAGGAAACACCGCGAAGAAUUAGAGAACGAAUGAAGAUACUUGAGGGAAUUUAGAUACAUGAGAACGAAGAGAUCACGAACUGAUUAGAGAAUACUUGAAUGAUGCACCGAUAAGAUUUGGAGAAUGAGAGCUGAAAGCUGAGAAUGAAUAAUUCUGAGUUGAUGGCUUUCGGAGGAUCAAACUGAAAAGACUUCUGAAUUGUUCCGGAUGGGUGAAAAGAAUUCUCACAAACGAAAACAAUUAUGGGAGGAAGGCAUGAAGCUAGAACCAUGAGUCUUUGGAAGAACGGGUAUGGAUUUAAGAGGAACUCUUCUUCGGUCUUCAAAAUUCAAGAAUGAUGACGAGAAACACCACCAUGAAUUUUUGAGGUACUCCGGAAUGAAAAAUAGAAUGGUUGAACCAACAAUGAGAAGAAUUUGAAAGAUCUUGGAGAAAGACAUUUGACUGAUGAAAAUUCAUUCUUACGUCAAACUUUAGAAGAUUUGAGAAUAGUUCUGAGAAAAUAGAAGAGUCUGGUAAGAUCCUGGGAAAAGACCUGUGGGUUAGGGCCCACUCAAAGGAUACACCGUUGAAUGAUUUAAACAAGAGAAUGCGCCGGUUGAAUUAAAUGGCUUGAAGCUUGAAUGGAAUGCAGAGUGGAAACAUGAAUCUUCGAGAUAUCUUCAGCACUCCGGAACAAUUGAAUAGCAAGCGGGGAAUGAUUAUGAGGUGCACCGGCAUGGGAAAAGCAUUUGAACCGAGCAAAUGAUAUGAUCGAGAAAGCUUGAAUUGAAUCCACCGGAGAAGAAAGAGAACGAAGAAUGAUGAACUUGAAGCUUCCUUUAGCAUCUUCCUGAGAAUCACCGGAUAAAAACAUUGACGGAAAAGAAUGGAGAGACUUCCCAUCAAUAAAAGUAUUCUUGAUUAAGCACUUCGAGUCCUUGAAGAAAAAAAGGGUGGGAGGGCGGGAAAAAACAAAGAAGACUUGCGAACGGAUGAAAUGAACAACGUUGAGAAGGCUUUGAGUUGAUCUUGUGGAUGUUGAAAAUGAUCGGAUCCACUUGAAGAGAAGCACGUCGGUUGAAAAGGAUUGACAUGACAAUCUCGAUUAUCAUGAAGGAUUAGUAUUCACAUAGAAAUAUGAGCACACCGCUUAGGAAAGGUAUGGAAUCAACAUUUGACUUCGAAGCAACUCGAAUACCACAAAUCAAAACAAAACAAAGGGUUGGGUUGCAAAAGAAACCGGAACAAACCUAUGAUAGAUCCCAUAUCGUAUCAUGUGUCUGUUGGAAAGAUAUUCUAGGAGCUACUUGAAUUCCCACUUAUAAACUCCCGAAACUUUCUGGUUAUGCAAUCAGGUGUUGGGGAUACAGGGGAAGCAUAAUAUCUCACCCAAACUAACAAUUCAUAAAUCCAACUGUAUCCAUCCUUCAGCACAUAACAAAGAACCCUUCGGAAAUCAUGUACCUCAACCUUCAAAAAGCAUCCGUUAUACGAGUUAUGGCAAUACUCCCGAACUCCCGCUCCAGUAUUGGGUGGCGUCGAGGUUAUCUCACCAACAACUACAUAAAAGAUAUUUUCGAUGUCGGCGAACUCAGGUAUUCCAGAACUGCAAUGAUAAAAUUGUGACGACAACACCUCGGAGCUCAACUCCCCGGGACACUGCCACAACCCCUAAAUGUCAGGAGGCACCAAGAACAAUGUUCUCGUAACAAAACCAUCGGAACGAUUCCAAGAUACCCGCGUGAUCCUAAAAAAAUUGGUGAAAUUUGAGGAGAGAAGUGUCAAAACUCUAUGUCAGGAGGCCUCACCAGAGCGACGGAGGGACUGAGGAGUAAAAAGAAUCCUACUCUCCGAUAUAUAUAAUCCUAAGACUCAAAACAUUUUGUUCUAGACUUAACAAAGUCAGCGAUUCGAUCAAGCAGGGGGCUCCUAAGUCGGGGAAGGCUCUGAUACCAACUUGUAACACCCACAAUGCGGCUAUAUCUCCCAGGUGUUGGGGCACGACUUAGAGGCAUAGCUGCAUGGUAGGUUUGUCGCAAGAGGGGUAAUCUUCACACAAUCCCAUGUACUGAAUAAAAAGGGAUAAAGAGUUGGCUUACAAUCGCCACUUCACACAAAUACAAGUUAAACAUACAUCAUGCAGAAUACAAUCAAGGUCUGACUACGGAACCAAAAUAAAAGAAGACAACCCCAAUGCUAGAUCCCCGAUCAUCCCAACUGGGCUCCACUACUGAUCAGCAGGAAACGAAACAAAACAACAAACAAGAUCUUCAUCGAGCUCCCACUUGAGCUCGAUUGCAUCACCUGCAUUGGUAUCAUUGGCACCUGCAACUGUUUGGAAGUAUCUGUGAGUCACGAGGACUCAGCAAUCUCACACCUGCGAGAUCAAGACUAUUUAAGCUUAUGGGUAGGAAAGGGUAGUGAGGUGGAGCUGCAGCAAGCACUAAGCAUAUAUGGUGGCUAACUUACGCAAAUGAGAGCGAGAAGAGAAGCAAUGCAAGGGUCAUGAACUAGAAGUGAUCAAGAAGUGAUCUUGAAACUACUUACGUUUCAACCAUAACACAAGAACCGUGUUCACUUCCCGUACUUCGCCAAGAAGAGACCAUCAUGGCUACACACGCGGUUUUUUCAUUUUAAUUAAGUUAAGUGUCAAGUUCUCUACAACCGGAUAUUAACAAAUUCCCAUCUGCCACAAAACCGCGGGCAUGGCUUUCGAAAGUUCAAACCCUGCAGGGGUGUCCCAACUUAGCCCAUGACAAGCUCUCACGGUCAAUGAACGAUAUUCCUUCUCCCAGGAAGACCCGAUCAGACUCGGAAUCCCGGUUAGAAGACAUUUCGACAAUGGUAAAACAAGACUAGCAAGACCGCCUGAUGCGCCGACAUCCUGAUAGGAGCUGCACAUAUCUCGUUCUCAAGGCAACAUUGGAUGAACACUACGUACAGCUAAAACCAGCCCACAAGUUUCCCUGAGGUGGCGCCGCAAGUGGAUCUACUUCGGACCAAUACUUAGAGAAGCACUGGCCCCGGGGGGUUAAAAUAAUGAUGACCCUCGAGAGCGCGACUCCCAAGGGAAAAGUAUAGGUGGUGGUGAGGCAAAUGGUAAAACCAAGGUUGGGCCUUGCUGGAGGAAUAUUUUUCAAAGCGAACUGUCAAGGGGUCCCCAUAACACCCAAUUGUGUAAGGAAUGCAAAAUCAAGGAACAUAACACCGGUAUGACAGAAACUAGGGCGGCAAGAGUGGAACAAAACACUAGGCAUAAGGCUGAGCCUUCCACCCUUUACCAAUUAUAUAGAUGCAUUAAAGUAAAUAAGAUAUAAUAGUGAUAUCCCAACAAUAUCCAUGUUCCAACAUGGAACAAACUUCAUCUUCACCUGCAACUAGCAACACUAUAAGAGGGGCCGAGCAAAGUGGUAACAUAGCCAAACAACGGUUUGCUAGGAAAGGUGGGUUAGAGGAUUGACAUGGCAAUAUGGGAGGCAUGAUAUAGCAAGUGGUAGGUAGCGCGGCAUGGCAAUAGAGCGAACAACUAGCAAGCAAAGAUAGAAGUGAUUUCGAGGGUAUGGUCAUCUUGCCUGAGAUCUCGCAAGGAAGAAGAACAAGCCCAUGAACAAGACAAACAGAUGUAGUCGAACGAAUCCUCACAACUCCGGAACGAAACCAAAGCUAACGAGAGAAGCAACCCGGAAAGAAGCAAGCAACAUAGUAAACAACCCUCAGAUAAACAUGGCACGAUGCACAACCAAGUAUGAUGCAUGUCCGGUUUAAUGAGGCAUGGCAUGGCAAAGUGCACAAGCAAAACUACAAUUUAAGUGGAGCUCAAUACGCAACGAGUUGCAUAUUGAUGAAAUACCCCAACAAUUAUUUAGUUCACUCUCGUUUAGGUACCCAACAAUGUUAAAUGUUGGUUAGCAUGGCAAGAGCGGAAGCAUAAGUAAACUAAGUAUCUAGUCAAAUUUAAAUGAGGCCAGAAAAAACGAACAACAAUUCUGGUAAAUCCCCAUAUGCAUAUUUCAAAGUUGGUACUGUUCUGCCCUAAACAUAAUUUUAGAGUUAUUAACCAUGCAAAGUAAGUACAUCAUGUUAAACUAGACAUUUUUCUACCCCAUUUACAUAUAAAGUUUGUUAAGUUUGGAGCUACGGUUAUUUAGUUAUGAAAUAAAGCAUUUUAACAUGGCAUUGGGGCAAAUUAAAGCAAACAACAAUUUAAACAUUUCAAACAUGCAUGAAAGUUGGAUAUUAUGAAACUAGACACAAUUCUAAGCAUUUUUCAUAUAUAAUUCAUUUUAAUCCGAUGCACCAUUUGUGAGUUAUGUUAUGCAUGAACUAGGAGGACUUUUCUGUAUAACUGCAAAACACAGGAAUAAUAGACAAAAUCGCGGACACGGAAAAAAACUACACUGGGCCAAAUCUGCAGCCUGGCCUAACAGUUGCAGGGGCGUUGGAGGCUCACCAUGGGCCUCGGCCAUUUGGUGGAGGAGGGAGGCCUGCAGGGCGCGCGGCUCGGCCUUUGAGCCCACCUGGCGAACACUUGCGGAUGCGGCGCAGUCAACGCGGGCGUCGACCCCGUCAUCCUCCUCUCGGACAGAGGCUGCACGGGACUUGGACAAGCACUCCUGAUCGAAGAAGAGGAAGCAGAGGUCAGUAGUGGCUGGGAGCAGAGGUCCGGCGAGCGGGGUGGCGAGGUCUUGGGAGUCCGGAUCUGGCCGGGAACGAGCUUGGACGCUGAGAAGAACCGGAUCCGGCGGCCGACGCCUUUAUCUGAAGAAGAAAGCAGCCAUGGCAUGGGGGCUUCAGGCAGGCGAUGGGAAUGCACGGGCGGUCGACGCGGGCGAGGGAAGCGGAGGGACUCCGGCGCAGCAGGGAGCUCGGCGGACGUUGUCGAGUUGGAGGCAUCGGUGAUCAGCGAGGCGAAGAGGACCACCAUGGUGGCCUUUUGUAACUCGUCCAUGAUGGCGCGACGGCGAGCUCAUGUCCGGGCAAGGGGAAGCAGGGAGACGACGGCUUGGGACAGAGGACCCGGUUGAGGACGACGUAGCAAAACGGGACGACCAUGGGCUCCUCCAGGUGGCGGCUUGCUUGCUCCGGCGAGGCGGAUGCAAGCAAGGAGAGUUGAGGCGGCCGGCGACGUUCUUCGGAUCGGUGGUGCUGGCCUUGCAGAAGAAACAAGGUGACGACGCGAUUAUCAGCAGCAGUAGGAGAAGAACAGCGAGAAACAGGAAGGAGGCGCGGUGAGGAGGACCUGCGGGUCGGAGCGGCUUGAUGGCGGGGGCCAUGGCGUGGUGCUGCUUGGGGCCGGAUGACGCUGCUCUCGAUCCACCCUGGAUCGAGGCACAGGAGGAGGGGAGGAGACGUGGAGCAUCCUGCUCGAGCUCGAGGGUGAGGGCGGCGCUCAGGGUUGGCCGUGAGCAGAGGAGCUCAAACAGAGUGGUGCUGGCUGAAUCGGAAGGAGGGGAUGGAUGGGACAGAGAUGAUUGGCCGAUGCUCUGUUCGGUGGUGGCUGAAUGCGCGGUGGAUCGGGCAGGGAGAUACCGAGGGGGAUUCGGUGUAGUGGCGGCGGCGAUGAGAUUGAUGGGAC
Molecule: long non-coding RNA, 17012 nt
Filed under: Triticum aestivum (bread wheat)
Lineage: Eukaryota; Viridiplantae; Streptophyta; Magnoliopsida; Poales; Poaceae
Description: long non-coding RNA (TAES_LNC020358)
Source: RNAcentral